UAAGGAAUAUUGGUCAAUGGGCGCAAGCCUGAACCAGCCAUGCCGCGUGCAGGAUGACUGCCCUAUGGGUUGUAAACUGCUUUUGUUAGGGAAUAAACCUACUUAUGUAUAAGUAGCUGAAUGUACCUAAAGAAUAAGGAUCGGCUAACUCCGUGCCAGCAGCCGCGGUAAUACGGAGGAUCCAAGCGUUAUCCGGAUUUAUUGGGUUUAAAGGGUGCGUAGGUGGCUUAAUAAGUCAGGGGUGAAAGACAUCGGCUCAACCGAUGCAGUGCCUUUGAUACUGUUGAGCUUGAAUUAUGUUGAAGAUGGCGGAAUGAGACAAGUAGCGGUGAAAUGCAUAGAUAUCACGCAGAACUCCGAUUGCGAAGGCAGCAUACCGGCGCCCGACUGACGCUGAGGCACGAAAGCGUGGGGGAUCGAACAGGAUUAGAUACCC
RNAcentral lists this ribosomal RNA (436 nucleotides) under uncultured bacterium. RNAcentral describes it as "bacterial SSU rRNA". It matches the Rfam family "Bacterial small subunit ribosomal RNA", at positions 355 to 787 of the family's 1533-position model. The record is from RNAcentral.